AACGAACGCUGGCGGCAGGCCUAACACAUGCAAGUCGAACGCUCGUAGCAAUACGGGAGUGGCGCACGGGUGAGUAACGCGUGGGCACCUGCCCGGUGGUUUGGGAUAACCGUGGGAAACUGCGGCUAAUACCGGAUACGCCCCUCGGGGGAAAGAUUUAUCGCCAUCGGAUGGGCCCGCGUAGGAUUAGCUAGUUGGUGAGGUAACGGCUCACCAAGGCGACGAUCCUUAGCUGGUCUGAGAGGAUGAUCAGCCACACUGGGACUGAGACACGGCCCAGACUCCUACGGGAGGCAGCAGUGGGGAAUAUUGGACAAUGGGGGGCAACCCUGAUCCAGCCAUGCCGCGUGAGUGAAGAAGGGCCUUCGGGUUGUAAAGCUCUUUUGGUCGGGGACGAUGAUGACGGUACCCGCACGAAUAAGCCCCGGCUAACUUCGUGCCAGCAGCCGCGGU
Molecule: ribosomal RNA, 453 nt
Filed under: uncultured bacterium
Lineage: Bacteria
Description: bacterial SSU rRNA
Rfam family: Bacterial small subunit ribosomal RNA
Source: RNAcentral